RNAcentral lists this ribosomal RNA (449 nucleotides) under uncultured bacterium. Its description in RNAcentral is "bacterial SSU rRNA". It matches the Rfam family "Bacterial small subunit ribosomal RNA", at positions 330 to 793 of the family's 1533-position model. The record is from RNAcentral.
CCCAGACUCCUACGGGAGGCAGCAGUGGGGGAUAUUGCACAAUGGGGGGAACCCUGAUGCAGCGACGCCGCGUGGGUGAAGGAGCGUUUCGGCGCGUAAAGCCCUAUCGGCAGGGAAGAAGGAGGACGGUACCUGACUAAGAAGCCCCGGCUAACUACGUGCCAGCAGCCGCGGUAAUACGUAGGGGGCAAGCGUUAUCCGGAUUUACUGGGUGUAAAGGGGGCGCAGACGGCAGCGCAAGCCAGGAGUGAAAGCCCGGGGCCCAACCCCGGGACUGCUCUUGGAACUGCGCGGCUGGAGUGCAGGAGGGGCAGGCGGAAUUCCUGGUGUAGCGGUGAAAUGCGUAGAUAUCAGGAGGAACACCGGUGGCGAAGGCGGCCUGCUGGACUGCGACUGACGUUGAGGCCCGAAAGCGUGGGGAGCAAACAGGAUUAGAUACCCCCGUACCG